UACGGAGGGUGCAAGCGUUAUCCGGAUUCACUGGGUUUAAAGGGUGCGUAGGUGGGCAAGUAAGUCAGUGGUGAAAUCUCCAGGCUUAACCCGGAAACUGCCAUUGAUACUAUUUGUCUUGAAUACUGUGGAGGUCAGCGGAAUAUGUCAUGUAGCGGUGAAAUGCUUAGAUAUGACAUAGAACACCAAUUGCGAAGGCAGCUGGCUACACAAAUAUUGACACUGAGGCACGAAAGCGUGGGGAUCAAACAGG
RNAcentral lists this ribosomal RNA (253 nucleotides) under uncultured bacterium. RNAcentral describes it as "partial 16S ribosomal RNA". It matches the Rfam family "Bacterial small subunit ribosomal RNA", at positions 524 to 776 of the family's 1533-position model. The record is from RNAcentral.